UUGCCUCGCCAGUGGUGGGAGUACCGAGAGCCCUGGGCUGGGAGCUCGAGAGCUGGCUCAGCUCGCUCGCUUCAUCACCCGAGCAUGAGUCGGUGACUCACGGGCUCCAGGGCCCGCGCCUCAGAGAGGUUUGGCAGGGAGAACCCACACCUCCCUCCUGGCGGAGCGUCCAGGGCACCCUGGGCCUCGCGGCCCUCGCGGUUGAGGGCGCAGAGAAACGCACCCCCUGCAGGACCCCUGCAGUCCCCCUAGUUUUGUCCCACGCCGGGGAAGCCACGUUUUGCCUCUUGCACGGUUGGUUCACGUCCUCAGCAGUUCCUGGACCAACAGGACAGGAGAAGGUACCAGACACAUUGAUCAUGGGAGUGAUCAAACACACCAUUCCUGGCUAAGAACACUGCCAUGAUCAUAGCCUCCAAGGAGAGACGCGUCCCCAAGGCAUUGCUCAUCCAGACUUUGCCGUGUUUUGACCACACCAUCCUUUGGCCAUGUGUGAUUGGACAGAAGAGGAUGCUUGGCCCAGGACCUCCAUGCAUGGGCUGACUGGUAUUGUCAGAUGUGGUCCAGCUGGAUCAAAGAUCAUUCAAGUUACAUCGUUCUCUCUUUGGGAGUUGAUUUUGGAAAUAAAGAGAAAACAAGCCAGCUGGUAGCGGGACAAGAAUCAUGGAGAUACACUUAGAAGAGGGGUGUGAAGAUUGUCAUCGCUGAGUCACCCUGAUGCUGGAAAUCCAGGACCAACGGUUCUGAACCCAAAUGCAUGUGCACACGGGCUGGCAGCUCCCCUCACAGUCUUGCAGGGACAGUGUCUGUGGAUGGCUUUGGCCAGCAGGACGAUCGUGGACACCAGAAGACCCAGAAGCAACAUGGAGCCCAAAGUGAUGACAAAAGGCACAUACCACGCAGAUGGAGAAUACACGUUCUUCCUCAGGAUCUGCUGCUGCAGCCUCCAGCACCAGGAGCCCGCAGCAAGGAUCCAGGAACACUGACAUCAAUUUCAUACCUGUGCCAAUGGAGUAACGAAAAGACCUAGGGCUGGAAUCAAGUUGCUGCCACCAGCAAGGUGACUGCUGGAUCCUGGAACCCACCAGAUGGAGAAUUUGAAGCUCAGAGAGGUUAAGAACUUGUCCAAGACGACACAGAACCAAGGAUCCAAUGUGGGAUGUCUGUCUCCAGAGACUGCUCACCCAUUCCAGCCUCCCCGGUGCUCUGUGCCUGGAGGUGGACAGCACUUUCUUCCCAUUGCCACUUCCCAUCUCGCCCCACUGAGACUCCAGGUUCCUGUGUCAAAGGCCAUACAGAAAAGCUGCUUUUCCAUUUAAUAAAGAAACUUACACUGAGGGGGUCCAGCCUGAUGCCGCUGUCUGGACUGCAUUGCACAUCCCAGUGUGUCUCACCUUUUGCCAAGUUGCCCUGAAACUCAGGCGGCUCAUUCACAUCUGUCACCUG
Cervus elaphus (red deer) is the source of this 1446-nucleotide long non-coding RNA. RefSeq lists it as uncharacterized. The record is from RefSeq and is a predicted model, not a curated record. NCBI's taxonomy places the organism in Eukaryota, Metazoa, Chordata, Mammalia, Artiodactyla, Cervidae. The transcript is spliced from 7 exons.